UUACGAGCAGUUCAGUACAAUUCUUUCCAACAUCAAGGAGCUGAAUUCUCAAAAUCAAACUCAAGAGGAAACGUGAAGGAAGGCAGAAGAAUUAUUUGGUGAAUUGCGCAAAGAAGCCAAAUAAACCAAACUGUGGAAAUUGGAUAUUAGGAGAUUGGAUGGGAGUGAAAGAGAAGUUAUUGCUAGUCACUGGGCACACCAUUCUCUCUAUGAUGUUACAGGAUCUGAUACCAGAAGUUGUUACCCCCAAUCGUUCCAAGCGGUCAUUAAAAUUGUGUAUAUUUUUGGUUGAUGUAUGAUCUGUGAUCCUUAUUGUGGAUUACAAGUUUAUUUCCCCAAGUGAAAUACACUGGAUAUGAGUAUAUGACAAUUUUGGAAUUUGUGA
Long non-coding RNA from Papaver somniferum (opium poppy), 385 nucleotides. RefSeq lists it as uncharacterized. The transcript has 3 exons. NCBI's taxonomy places the organism in Eukaryota, Viridiplantae, Streptophyta, Magnoliopsida, Ranunculales, Papaveraceae. The record is from RefSeq and is a predicted model, not a curated record.